RNAcentral lists this transfer RNA (71 nucleotides) under Polyascus gregaria. RNAcentral's name for it is "tRNA-Met". Lineage: Eukaryota; Metazoa; Arthropoda; Thecostraca; Sacculinidae. The record is from RNAcentral.
UAAAAAGUAAGCUAAGUAAAGCUUUAUAGCUCAUAACUCUAAUAUGGUUGUAGUAUAUUUGCCCUUUUUAU